Molecule: ribosomal RNA, 456 nt
Filed under: uncultured bacterium
Lineage: Bacteria
Description: partial 16S ribosomal RNA
Rfam family: Bacterial small subunit ribosomal RNA
Source: RNAcentral
AACAAACGCUGGCGGCGUGCCUAAUACAUGCAAGUCGAACGAGGUAGCAAUACCUAGUGGCGCACGGGUGAGUAACGCGUGGAUAAUCUGCCCUUCAGUGGGGAAUAACUCUCCGAAAGGAGAGCUAAUACCGCAUAAGACCACAGUGACUUUGGUCACAGAGGUUAAAGGAGCAAUUCGCUGAAGGAUGAGUCCGCGUCAGAUUAUGGUAGUUGGUGGGGUAACGGCCUACCAAGCCUUCGAUCUGUAGCUGGUCUGAGAGGAUGAUCAGCCACACUGGAACUGAGACACGGUCCAGACUCCUACGGGAGGCAGCAGUAGGGAAUAUUGGUCAAUGGGCGAAAGCCUGAAUCAGCAACGCCGCGUGAGCGACGAAGGCCUUAGGGUUGUAAAGCUCUGUUGCAAGGGAAGAAAAAAAUGACGGUACUUUGCGAGAAAGAACCGGCCAACUUCGUG